CGUGUUUGUGCCUCACGUUGCACUGCCAUCCAUCCAUCCAUCCGUGCUGAGCCACGCACCUUCCCUCGACGACCAACUCAUCGACCGCGAUGCGGCCAUCCGCAUCCGUCGUUUGACAGCAGGUGGUGCGAAAGACGACGGACAUGGACUCACCAUCAUCAGCUCCGACGGGGGGACGCGCCACCCCCGCGGCGUACUCAUGACUUCAGAGGGGGGCCACCGCAGCCCGAGCCCCGACCGUGUCAUGAACACCCAGUCCAACAAAGGGUGUGUUCCGUCCGUCAGUCCGUCGGUGUAGGGCGAGACGACGCGUCUCUCCCGUGUCGGUAGAUCCGGAUGGGACUAGUCCUCCAUGACUGGAGCUGUUUCAAAUACGACGUCGGAAUGGAGCACCGCGGGGAGGUCCGCAACCAAAUGUGGAGCGGGCCCCGAGCCCGGAUGGACGGACGCGGUGUGUCGCGCUACCCAUGAAGGUGGCUGGCAGUCGCUCGUGACCGCGCAUUGCCUGUUACACUAAAGCGCCACCUACAGGCUGAUAAUCAAAAAACACCCUCCGUCUUUUAAAAAUAAAUAAAAAAAUACUUCACUGUAAGGACGCAGAAAAAAACAAACCUCCCCUAAAGAAGGACCCACAAAAAAUACCUCAAACCCAAAACAGACAACAGGUGAAUCGUCACGAUCAUCACCGUGGUGUCAUUUUUACUCGACAGCUCAUGACAAAAUGGCCGCCCACUGAACAGGUGGACGUUGCUAUUUUAAUUUUAAUUCUUAUUCCACAAAAUGCUAUGUAAUGGGGCCUCCUAUUACAUAUUCAAGUCUGCAACAAAGUAAUUUGAAUCAACUUGCUGAAUACCUAGCAAACAAUUUCAACAGCAUGUGUGUUACAUGAUUUUCUAGUCAGGAAUACAUACAGUAUGUGUUAUUGUGGGUAAUGUGUUAUUUUUAUACACUGGAAAAGGUUUAACUGGUUAUAAUCUGUAUACAGUAAUUAAGUUAGUAACAAACUUGAGUUGAACAGAAUGAAUAAAGUGAUCAGUAAUGAGAAAAGUAGUU
Molecule: long non-coding RNA, 1053 nt
Organism: Syngnathus typhle (broad-nosed pipefish)
Lineage: Eukaryota; Metazoa; Chordata; Actinopteri; Syngnathiformes; Syngnathidae
Exons: 2
Source: RefSeq, a predicted model, not a curated record